UACGUAGGGGGCAAGCGUUGUCCGGAUUUAUUGGGCGUAAAGAGCGUGUAGGCGGCCAAGCAGGUCCGCUGUGAAAACUCGAGGCUCAACCUCGAGAGGUCGGUGGAAACCGUUUGGCUAGAGUCCGGAAGAGGAGAGUGGAAUUCCCGGUGUAGCGGUGAAAUGCGCAGAUAUCGGGAAGAACACCCGUGGCGAAGGCGGCUCUCUGGGACGGUACUGACGCUGAGGAGCGAAAGCGUGGGGAGCGAACAGG
This 253-nucleotide ribosomal RNA is filed under the name uncultured bacterium. RNAcentral describes it as "partial 16S ribosomal RNA". It matches the Rfam family "Bacterial small subunit ribosomal RNA", at positions 524 to 776 of the family's 1533-position model. The record is from RNAcentral.